Mauremys reevesii (Reeves's turtle) is the source of this 1353-nucleotide long non-coding RNA. RefSeq lists it as uncharacterized. The transcript is spliced from 7 exons. NCBI's taxonomy places the organism in Eukaryota, Metazoa, Chordata, Testudines, Geoemydidae. The record is from RefSeq and is a predicted model, not a curated record.
GUAUGGAAUGGUGGAGGGAUUAGCAAGAGCAGCUUGACAGAGUUGUCACUAUGAUAGGAGAAGUGCAUUGUGUACCAUGAGUGAUCAAGUAUUCCUCUUAUCCAUGCUAAGUUCUUUGGGGUGUGUCAGUAGUGGGGUACGGAGUCUUCUUGCCACAGUGAUUGGUGGCAGUCUAAUGGCACACAGGACAGUGGUCUCCAGGGUUCAGUGAUGGAUGGGGCCUUACACUGAACUGCUCUCUGGAGAUUUCACCUUUGGUAACAAAGGAACAUUUAAAGAAAGCAAGGCUACUGUAAACUCCUCAGACCAUCUUACUGCAUGUGUGUGUGGACAGUGCCUAACAUAAUUGGGCUUUAAUCACAGCUGAGGCCUCUAGUAGCCAGCACAAAGUGCUUUAGAAGAAGAUUCAAGAAACCCCACAGAUGUGGGAUAAACUGCCCCAUGAACGUCCUUAUCCUACGCACAGUCUCACAGGUUUGGCAGCCCUUAUGGUAGGAAGUAUCAGUAGACAGAGCACUGGACUGGGACUUGUCAGAUUUGGGUUCAAUUCCAAUCUCAGCCACAGAUGUCCUGUGUGACCUUGGCCUGCAUUUUUGUCCUACAUAAAUUGCUUGCUGGCUGCCUUCCUGAUCAUCCUGUAUCCCCAUACCGGAUUCUGGGAAGUUCUAAGGUCAUCUCUGUGGAAGAAGAUGUUUCUAAGAGACAUUUUAAAGGUAACACACAGGAGCCCCAGUCAAGGACCAGGAUCCAAUUGUGUCAGGUGCUGAACAAACACAGAACAAAAAGUCCCUGCCCCAAAGACCUUAUUAAAGAUGCCUUCAACCACAAGUAUAUCUAGAGCCAGAAAAACAUUCAUGCAUGUGUUUAAUUUUAGUUUCAUUGAACUUAAUAAUGUGCUUAAAUACUUUGCUAGAUCACAACCUGUAGCAUCACUAGCACAAGGCUAUUAUAAGAUUUAAAUGCUAAGCCAGGAAAUGCAACGGAAAAGCCUUAAAUUCAGGGUUUUAAAAAAUUCCUACAUAGUAAGAUAUUAAGUCCAGCAAUACGAAAUAAUGGGGAUGAGCCAAAGGAAAGCCCAAAAUAUAAAGCUCCUAUAUAACACACAACAAAAGGGGAAAAUGUAUUGCAUAGCCCAGUACGAUGGUCUCUACAAGAAUGUUACUGUACAUGUGAAAUGUAUCAAAUGAAAUAAAAGUAAGCAACUUCUCUGUCUUAUAAAGGAAGUGGCAGAGCUACAGGAUAAGCAGUAGAUGUUUUAAAUUUAGGAGUGAGACAAUGGGGUUUGGCAUAUGAUUAUCUACAGAGCCGUCUAAUAAUUCAAAGAACAGAGACGCCAAUUAUUGGGCACUGUCA